Molecule: unclassified non-coding RNA, 200 nt
Filed under: Helvella sp.
Lineage: Eukaryota; Fungi; Ascomycota; Pezizomycetes; Pezizales; Helvellaceae
Description: partial internal transcribed spacer 2
Source: RNAcentral
UUAAGUUCAGCGGGUAUCCCUACCUGAUUCGAGGAGUUCCAAUGUCUAGGUCUCCCCGCCCGAAAAACGGGCCAGGGCUGGCAGCCUCGCCGCGCACGAGGGCCCAUGCGUCAUAUCACGCUCGGCCACGCGGGCAGGCGUCCGCCCAUGGAUUCCGGCGCGGUGGCCGCCCUGUCGGGCCCGCCGCCGCCGCCAAUACC